CAGCCGCCGCGGGAAUACGUAGGGUGCGAGCGUUAAUCGGAAUUACUGGGCGUAAAGCGUGCGCAGGCGGUAAUGUAAGACAGAUGUGAAAUCCCCGGGCUCAACCUGGGAACUGCAUUUGUGACUGCAUUGCUGGAGUGCGGCAGAGGGGGAUGGAAUUCCGCGUGUAGCAGUGAAAUGCGUAGAUAUGCGGAGGAACACCGAUGGCGAAGGCAAUCCCCUGGGCCUGCACUGACGCUCAUGCACGAAAGCGUGGGGAGCAAACAGGAUUAGAUACCCCGGUAGUCCCUGUCUCUUAUAC
RNAcentral lists this ribosomal RNA (301 nucleotides) under uncultured bacterium. RNAcentral describes it as "partial 16S ribosomal RNA". It matches the Rfam family "Bacterial small subunit ribosomal RNA", at positions 509 to 807 of the family's 1533-position model. The record is from RNAcentral.